Molecule: transfer RNA, 73 nt
Filed under: Camelus bactrianus (Bactrian camel)
Lineage: Eukaryota; Metazoa; Chordata; Mammalia; Artiodactyla; Camelidae
Also listed under: 2 other names
Rfam family: tRNA
About the family: Transfer RNA (tRNA) molecules are approximately 80 nucleotides in length. Their secondary structure includes four short double-helical elements and three loops (D, anti-codon, and T loops).
Source: Rfam by way of RNAcentral
GAAGGUAUAGCUCAAGUGGUAGAGUGCAUGCUUAGCAUGCACAAGGUCCUGGGUUCAAUUUCUAGUACUUCCU